RNAcentral lists this ribosomal RNA (253 nucleotides) under uncultured bacterium. Its description in RNAcentral is "partial 16S ribosomal RNA". It matches the Rfam family "Bacterial small subunit ribosomal RNA", at positions 524 to 776 of the family's 1533-position model. The record is from RNAcentral.
UACGGAGGGGACUAGCGUUGCUCGGAAUUACUGGGCGUAAAGGGUGUGUAGGCGGUCUUUUAAGUUAGGUGUGAAAGCCCGGGGCUCAACCUCGGAAUUGCACUUAAUACUGGAAGACUUGAGUCUGGGAGAGGACAGUGGAAUUUCUAGUGUAGGAGUGAAAUCCGUAGAUAUUAGAAGGAACACCAAUGGCGAAAGCAUCUGUCUGGAACAGCACUGACGCUGAGGCACGAAAGCGUGGGGAGCAAACAGG